CUGCAUGACUGACAGCUGUCAAUCAACACCAACAUGACUCUGAUCUCCGUCCUCAUCUGGACUCUGCUCUGCUGCUGCUUCACAGAGUCCAAAAUCCAGGUCACAGUGACUCAACCUGAAGCAGUCACAUCUGCUCCAGGAGGCUCCACCACCAUCACUUGUACAACCAGUCACAAUGUUUAUGCAUCAAAUCAGUUAUCCUGGUACCAACAGAGAGACGGAGAAACUCCUAAACUCCUCAUUUAUCGUGCGAGCAGCCGAGCAUCAGGGACCCCAAACCGUUUUUCAGGCAGUGGAUCAAACUCUGAUUUCAGUCUGACCAUCAGUGGAGUCCAGGCUGAAGAUGCAGCAGUUUAUUACUGUCUGGGUGUUUUUGAUUCCAGCAAGUAUGAGCUGUUCACACAGUGAAAAAGCAUCAUACAA
Non-coding RNA from Thalassophryne amazonica, 423 nucleotides. The record is from the annotation of a RefSeq genome assembly. NCBI's taxonomy places the organism in Eukaryota, Metazoa, Chordata, Actinopteri, Batrachoidiformes, Batrachoididae.